RNAcentral lists this long non-coding RNA (294 nucleotides) under Hordeum vulgare. RNAcentral's name for it is "long non-coding RNA (HVUL_LNC012887)". The record is from RNAcentral. Lineage: Eukaryota; Viridiplantae; Streptophyta; Magnoliopsida; Poales; Poaceae.
UUUUGAUCUCCAACACAUAGAUUUUGCCGGGGAAACUUCCCUUCGGUAGGGAGAAAUUGAAGCCAUCGUCAUCACCAAUGCUUCCUCCUUCGUGAGAGGACCAAUCUUCAUCAACAUCUUAACCAACACCACCUCAUCUCCAACCCCAGUUCAUCUCUAGUAUUCAAUCUUUGUGUGAAAACCUCGGAUUGGUACGUGUGGGUUACUAGUUAUGUUGAUUACAUCUUGUAGUUGAUGCUUGUUGGAUUACUUGGUGGAAGAUAUUAUGUUCAGAUCCUUAAUUAUCAUUAUUAC